RNAcentral lists this ribosomal RNA (203 nucleotides) under Klebsiella variicola subsp. variicola. RNAcentral's name for it is "partial 23S ribosomal RNA". It matches the Rfam family "Bacterial large subunit ribosomal RNA", at positions 1143 to 1345 of the family's 2925-position model. The record is from RNAcentral. Lineage: Bacteria; Pseudomonadati; Pseudomonadota; Gammaproteobacteria; Enterobacterales; Enterobacteriaceae.
CACUGGUCGAGUCGGCCUGCGCGGAAGAUGUAACGGGGCUAAACCAUGCACCGAAGCUGCGGCAGCGACACUAUGUGUUGUUGGGUAGGGGAGCGUUCUGUAAGCCUGCGAAGGUGGCCUGUGAGGGUUGCUGGAGGUAUCAGAAGUGCGAAUGCUGACAUAAGUAACGAUAAAGCGGGUGAAAAGCCCGCUCGCCGGAAGAC